UAAGGAAGUAAAAGUCGUAACAAGGUUUCCGUAGGUGAACCUGCGGAAGGAUCAUUAAUGAGAUCGUGCCCUCCGGGGUAGACCUCCCACCCUUUGUAUACUAUACUCUGUUGCUUUGGCGAGCCUGUCUCUACAGACUACCGGCCCCGGCUGGUCCGUGCUCGCCAGAGGACCUAAAACUCUGAAUUAUAAUGCCGUCUGAGUACUAUAUAAUAGUUAAAACUUUCAACAACGGAUCUCUUGGUUCUGGCAUCGAUGAAGAACGCAGCGAAAUGCGAUAAGUAAUGUGAAUUGCAGAAUUCAGUGAAUCAUCGAAUCUUUGAACGCACAUUGCGCCCUCUGGUAUUCCGGAGGGCAUGCCUGUUCGAGCGUCAUUACAACCCUCAAGCUCUGCUUGGUAUUGGACCUCUGCCUUCCGGGCAGAUCCCAAAAUCAGUGGCGGCGUCAUCUGACUCUAAGCGUAGUAAAUUCUCUCGCUCUGGAGCCCCGGUGAUGGCUGGCCAUCGAACCCCCCAAUUUUUUUAAGGUUGACCUCGGAUCAGGUAGGGAUACCCGCUGAACUUAAGCUAU
Molecule: ribosomal RNA, 570 nt
Filed under: Geltingia associata
Lineage: Eukaryota; Fungi; Ascomycota; Leotiomycetes; Phacidiales; Helicogoniaceae
Description: eukaryotic LSU rRNA
Rfam family: 5.8S ribosomal RNA (bases 221-374)
Source: RNAcentral